RNAcentral lists this ribosomal RNA (254 nucleotides) under uncultured bacterium. RNAcentral's name for it is "partial 16S ribosomal RNA". It matches the Rfam family "Bacterial small subunit ribosomal RNA", at positions 524 to 776 of the family's 1533-position model. The record is from RNAcentral.
UACGUAGGGUCCGAGCGUUGUCCGGAUUUAUUGGGCGUAAAGAGCUCGUAGGCGGUUCCGUAAGUCAGAUGUGAAAACUCAGGGCUCAACCCGGAGACGCCAUCUGAUACUGCGGUGACUGGAGUCUGGUAGGGGAACACGGAAUUCCUGGUGUAGCGGUGAAAUGCGCAGAUAUCAGGAGGAACACCGAUGGCGAAGGCAGUGUUCUGGGCAAGUACUGACGCUGAGGAGCGAAAGCGUGGGGAGCAAACAGG